Molecule: ribosomal RNA, 465 nt
Filed under: uncultured bacterium
Lineage: Bacteria
Description: partial 16S ribosomal RNA
Rfam family: Bacterial small subunit ribosomal RNA
Source: RNAcentral
GACGAACGCUGGCGGCGUGCUUAACACAUGCAAGUCGAACGGAAAGGCCCCUUUGGGGGUACUCGAGUGGCGAACGGGCGAGUAACACGUGAGUAACCUGCCCUUGACUUCGGGAUAACUUCAGGAAACUGGGGCUAAUACCGGCUAGGAAUCCUUGCUGCAUGGUGGGGGUUGGAAAGCUUCGGCGGUUUUGGAUGGACUCGCGGCUUAUCAGCUUGUUGGUGGGGUAGUGGCUUACCAAGGCUUUGACGGGUAGCCGGCCUGAGAGGGCGACCGGCCACAUUGGGACUGAGAUACAGCCCAGACUCCUACGGGAGGCAGCAGUGGGGAAUAUUGCACAAUGGGCGGAAGCCUGAUGCAGCAACGCCGCGUGCGGGAUGACGGCCUUCGGGUUGUAAACCGCUUUCAGCAGGGGCGAAGCUUGUGGUGACGGUACCUGCAGAAGAAGCACCGGCUAACUACGUG